Molecule: long non-coding RNA, 331 nt
Filed under: Astyanax mexicanus (Mexican tetra)
Lineage: Eukaryota; Metazoa; Chordata; Actinopteri; Characiformes; Acestrorhamphidae
Description: lncRNA (ENSAMXG00005020100.1)
Source: RNAcentral
GUCGGGUAUAGCAGGCUAGAUUAGCUGCAGCUGUGUUAGUUAACCAGGUUAGUUUAGCUGUAAUUUAUUACAGUAACCGGAGCCGAACAGCGCGGAAAAUAGCAGCUCCAGAAUCUUUUUACCUGCUAAAGAAAGAAGAAUAAACUGAGAAUUGACCUCCGUCCACCUGCAGCACCUGUGUUUGGUUUCUGAGCUGAAGUCUUCAUUGGACAGUCCUACCAGGGAUCCACCUCUACCUCAACUGCAGCCUAGACUUUGGGACACAGCUACUGUAAGUAGUUUUAAAGUUUAAUUCCCCAUUUAGUGGGGAAUUUAAACACCAUAAUUAAAC